This 84-nucleotide small nucleolar RNA is filed under the name Olea europaea subsp. europaea. RNAcentral describes it as "Small nucleolar RNA SNORD34". It matches the Rfam family "Small nucleolar RNA SNORD34". Rfam says of the family: snoRNA U34 is found in intron 5 of the ribosomal protein L13a gene in humans. U34 is a member of the C/D class of snoRNA which contain C (UGAUGA) and D (CUGA) box motifs, and functions in directing site-specific 2'-O-methylation of 25S rRNAs. Lineage: Eukaryota; Viridiplantae; Streptophyta; Magnoliopsida; Lamiales; Oleaceae. The record is from Rfam by way of RNAcentral.
UGAGGCCUGUGAUGAUUGAAAUAUGUGCCUACAUUGUCUGACUGCAUAUAUUGAAGGAGAACAUUGAAAUAAUCUGAGGCCUCA